This 337-nucleotide ribosomal RNA is filed under the name uncultured bacterium. Its description in RNAcentral is "bacterial SSU rRNA". It matches the Rfam family "Bacterial small subunit ribosomal RNA", at positions 141 to 507 of the family's 1533-position model. The record is from RNAcentral.
GUAAACUACAGGAGAAAAUUUGAGCUAAUACCGGAUGAUGUCUUCGGACCAAAGAUUUAUCGCCUUUAGAUGGGGCCCGCGUUGGAUUAGCUAGUUGGUGGGGUAAAGGCCUACCAAGGCGACGAUCCAUAGCUGGUCUGAGGAGGAUGAUCAGCCACACUGGGACUGAGACACGGCCCAGACUCCUACGGGAGGCAGCAGUGGGGAAUAUUGGACAAUGGGCGAAAGCCUGAUCCAGCAAUGCCGCGUGAGUGAUGAAGGCCUUAGGGUUGUAAAGCUCUUUUUACCCGAGAUGAUAAUGACAGUAUCGGGAGAAUAAGCUCCGGCUAACUCCGUG